UUGGCGGACUCCGAAAAGCCGGUGAAACAGAGUAGGAA
Non-coding RNA from Chryseobacterium indologenes NBRC 14944, 38 nucleotides. The record is from Rfam. Lineage: Bacteria; Pseudomonadati; Bacteroidota; Flavobacteriia; Flavobacteriales; Weeksellaceae.